AGUGAACGCUGGCGGUAGGCCUAACACAUGCAAGUCGAACGGCAGCACAGUAAGAGCUUGCUCUUACGGGUGGCGAGUGGCGGACGGGUGAGGAAUACAUCGGAAUCUACUUUUUCGUGGGGGAAAACGUAGGGAAACUUACGCUAAUACCGCAUACGACCUACGGGUGAAAGCAGGGGAUCUUCGGACCUUGCGCGAUUGAAUGAGCCGAUGUCGGAUUAGCUAGUUGGCGGGGUAAAGGCCCACCAAGGCGACGAUCCGUAGCUGGUCUGAGAGGAUGAGUAGCCACACUGGGACUGAGACACGGUCCAGACUCCUACGGGAGGCAGCAGUGGGGAAUAUUGGACAAUGGGCGCAAGCCUGAUCCAGCCAUACCGCGUGGGUGAAGAAGGCCUUCGGGUUGUAAAGCCCUUUUGUUGGGAAAGAAAAGCAGCAGGUUAAUACCCCGCUGUUCUGACGGUACCCAAAGAAUAAGCACCGGCUAACUUCGUG
This 492-nucleotide ribosomal RNA is filed under the name uncultured bacterium. RNAcentral describes it as "partial 16S ribosomal RNA". It matches the Rfam family "Bacterial small subunit ribosomal RNA", at positions 29 to 507 of the family's 1533-position model. The record is from RNAcentral.